RNAcentral lists this ribosomal RNA (1346 nucleotides) under uncultured bacterium. Its description in RNAcentral is "partial 16S ribosomal RNA". It matches the Rfam family "Bacterial small subunit ribosomal RNA", at positions 28 to 1381 of the family's 1533-position model. The record is from RNAcentral.
GACGAACGCUGGCGGCGUGCUUAGCACAUGCAAGUCGAACGGAAAGGCCCUGCUUUUGUGGGGUGCUCGAGUGGCGAACGGGUGAGCAACACGUGAGUAACCUGCCCUUGACUUUGGGAUAACUUCAGGAAACUGGGGCUAAUACCGGAUAGGAGCUCCUGCUGCAUGGUGGGGGUUGGAAAGUUUCGGCGGUUGGGGAUGGACUCGCGGCUUAUCAGCUUGUUGGUGGGGUAGUGGCUUACCAAGGCUUUGACGGGUAGCCGGCCUGAGAGGGUGACCGGCCACAUUGGGACUGAGAUACGGCCCAGACUCCUACGGGAGGCAGCAGUGGGGAAUAUUGCACAAUGGGCGGAAGCCUGAUGCAGCAACGCCGCGUGCGGGAUGACGGCCUUCGGGUUGUAAACCGCUUUCGCCUGUGACGAAGCGUGAGUGACGGUAAUGGGUAAAGAAGCACCGGCUAACUACGUGCCAGCAGCCGCGGUGAUACGUAGGGUGCGAGCGUUGUCCGGAUUUAUUGGGCGUAAAGGGCUCGUAGGUGGUUGAUCGCGUCGGAAGUGUAAUCUUGGGGCUUAACCCUGAGCGUGCUUUCGAUACGGGUUGACUUGAGGAAGGUAGGGGAGAAUGGAAUUCCUGGUGGAGCGGUGGAAUGCGCAGAUAUCAGGAGGAACACCAGUGGCGAAGGCGGUUCUCUGGGCCUUUCCUGACGCUGAGGAGCGAAAGCGUGGGGAGCGAACAGGCUUAGAUACCCUGGUAGUCCACGCUGUAAACGGUGGGUACUAGGUGUGGGGUCCAUUCCACGGGUUCCGUGCCGUAGCUAACGCUUUAAGUACCCCGCCUGGGGAGUACGGCCGCAAGGCUAAAACUCAAAGGAAUUGACGGGGCCCCGCACAAGCGGCGGAGCAUGCGGAUUAAUUCGAUGCAACGCGUAGAACCUUACCUGGGUUUGACAUGGAUCGGGAGUGCUCAGAGAUGGGUGUGCCUCUUUUGGGGUCGGUUCACAGGUGGUGCAUGCCUGUCGUCAGCUCGUGUCGUGAGAUGUUGGGUUAAGUCCCGCAACGAGCGCAACCCUUGUUCACUGUUGCCAGCACGUUAUGGUGGGGACUCAGUGGAGACCGCCGGGGUCAACUCGGAGGAAGGUGGGGAUGACGUCAAGUCAUCAUGCCCCUUAUGUCCAGGGCUUCACGCAUGCUACAAUGGCUGGUACAGAGAGUGGCGAGCCUGUGAGGGUGAGCGAAUCUCGGAAAGCCGGUCUCAGUUCGGAUUGGGGUCUGCAACUCGACCUCAUGAAGUCGGAGUCGCUAGUAAUCGCAGAUCAGCAACGCUGCGGUGAAUACGUUCCCGGGGCU